This 341-nucleotide ribosomal RNA is filed under the name uncultured Chloroflexota bacterium. RNAcentral's name for it is "bacterial SSU rRNA". It matches the Rfam family "Bacterial small subunit ribosomal RNA", at positions 1025 to 1382 of the family's 1533-position model. Lineage: Bacteria; Bacillati; Chloroflexota. The record is from RNAcentral.
CUGAGCUACACAGGUGCUGCAUGGCUGUCGUCAGCUCGUGCCGUGAGGUGUAUGGUUAAGUCCCACACGAGCGCAACCCUCGUCGCUAGUUAAUUUCCCUAGCGAGACCGCCUCGCAAAACGAGGAGGAAGGUGGGGGAUGGCGUCAAGUCAGCAUGGCCUUUAUACCCUGGGCGACACACACGCUACAAUGGGUGGUACAGUGGGUAGCGAAGGAGCGAUCCGGAGCAAAUCUUUAAAACCAUCCUCAGUACGGAUUGCAGGCUGAAACCCGCCUGCAUGAAGCCGGAGUUGCUAGUAACCGCAUAUCAGAAUGGUGCGGUGAAUACGUUCUCGGGCCUU